Molecule: unclassified non-coding RNA, 4043 nt
Filed under: Diabrotica virgifera virgifera (western corn rootworm)
Lineage: Eukaryota; Metazoa; Arthropoda; Insecta; Coleoptera; Chrysomelidae
Description: uncharacterized LOC126878531
Source: RNAcentral
UAAAGAUGUUUUAAAGGCUAUUUUCAAGUUAGGGAUGUCUUUAAACAGUCUAGCCAGUCUGGGUGUUAUGCCUUUCACGUAUUUUCACGAUCUAUAUUUUCAAAGGUUAAGGACAAGAGUGACAUUAGGGAUUGUUCUAACGUUGUCUACCAGAUUCCCUGUAACAACUGUAAUUUGGUAUAUGUUGGACAAACCGCACGCAAUUUAGGUAGUCGUUUAGUUAGUCACCGCAGUGAUAGCAGAUUAUAUCCUGAAAGAUCUGCUCUUGCCGAACAUGUUAAUAAAGAACAUCACAAAAUGAAUUACGAAUCGGUCAGAGUUUUAGCUUCUGAAUCCAACUAUACUAAAAGACUGUUCUUAGAGAUGGCUUUCAUUUCGCAGAAUUCUAAUGCAAUGAACAAAAGGAGUGACAUAAAUCAAUUAAGCUCUAUUUACUCAUAUCUAUUAUGUUUGGACAACUAUCCUCAUUUCAAUGAUGUCUUUUCAACUGAUUCAUUGUAAAGUUUCCAGCUUUCAGUACAUUGAAAUGUAAAUUAUUUAUAAUUUUGGUUUUUAACUUCAAACAAAACUCUGGUAAAUUUUUGAUGUGUAUUCUUAAAGUAUUAGUACUACAUAAGACAAAGAAAAAAGAAGAAGUGGUGUCAUUUGCGUAUGUCCAGGAAUGACAUUGACUUCUAACCUCACAUUUCACACUUGCCGGCACACGUGGCAUGUAAACCUUUUUAAUUGUCUUUUUCUUAUGUGUUAGUGUAGAAAAUAAUUUGUCAAUUUGGUCUUUUACACCAUGUAUUUUUUAAUAUUUGACUCAAUCAAUGAGUGGUGCGUGAAUUUGUCACCUGUGAGUAUAACAUCCACGGAAAGCAAAUCUCAAUAACUUAUUCCUGAUGAUGAAAAUAAACAUUUUCGAAAGCUUGAAACUUAGUUAAAAGAGUACACUUAUUUCACCGCUGCAUAUCCCAAUAACCUCAGAAUUCCGUUUUCUACGUUGUCAGCAAAGACUUCUUUUCCUUUUCUUUUUAAGGCAUGGGAUUUUAUCAGAACAUCGCAUAUCGCUAUGGUGACCUCGCUGUACGGGCACUCAAGGAUUGGUCAAAGACUAAACAAAAAUUGGCAAGAGAAUACAAUAAAAGAUGUUUUUUAUUAAGAUGUAGAUCAUCAAACAUUUCACCUACACACAUCAUACACUCCACUUCAUCCAUCACUAAAUUAUUACAAAGACAGGACAUCCAGUCGAACAAGGAUGCUUUACAAUUUACCAGGUUAGAAAACAGAAUUUUGAAUUUAGAAAUUUCUAAUUGCAUUAAAGUCAUUAACAAUUUAGAGUCUAAUUUAUCUAAACUCAAAAGAGACAUCAUUGACUUUACUUCUGAAUUCAUUUUUAACAACUUUUCUAGUAAACAACAAGUUUUAUAUAACAAAACUUUUCAUAAAACCAAAUUAGUAAAUACUAACAAAUAUAAUAGAUUAUUUAAUCAAGAACUGAACUUGAAACUAAAGACAAAACCGGGUUGGAUUAAGAACCUCUCCAAUGUAACCUUGCCCGAUGAUAUUUCUAGAUUUUUGUCUUUGGGUCCAAAGUUCAGUAUAGAACCUAUUGUAGGGAAAGAUAUCCCUAUCAGGGAUAUGUUGGCUGACGUUGAAACAAUUAUGCACUCUGUCACGGAUGCACAACUGAGGGACGUGCUAGUAGCUAAAUCUACGUACAUCAUUACUGAUUAUGUACAUAAAAAUAACAGUAAGAGUAGCUUUAACUUCUACAGAGCUAUGUUACAUAAAACUCGUAAGUUUCUUAGUGAAAACACUAACAUUAUUGUCAUGCCUUCUGACAAAUGUAAUGUAACUGUAGUUCUGGAGAAGCAGAGAUACUUAGAUCUAUGUCUCCAAUUGCUAAAUUCUGAUAACAUAUAUGAGAGAUUGAACAGAGAUCCAACUAAUACUGUUCAAACUAAAUGCAAUAACCUCAUCAAGGAAUUAUGCAGUUCGGGACAAAUAGAUGAUGAUACAAAGAAAAAAUUAACAGGGUAUAAGGGUGUCAUACCCAAGUUUUACGCUUUACCUAAGAUUCAUAAACCACAGCUUUCGGUACGUCCCAUUGUUGCAUGCAUUGGUUCACCUACUAAUUUAUUAGCAUCUUUUUUGACUGAGAUUUUGACCAAUGCAUAUGUCUCUAAUGAAUAUGACGUAAAAAGUUCUUUUGAUGUCUUUAACAGCUUUAACAACUAUCAGUUACCUGAGGGCUAUGUUAUUAUCAGUCUGGAUGUAGUCUCUUUGUUCACUAAUGUACAUCUAGAUGCAGCCUUAAUAGCUGUUGAAAACAAUUGGAAUUUUAUUAGUUCUCAUUGCAAUAUUAGCUUGGAAUCUUUCAAAAAACUCAUCUCCUUUCUUUUUAACAACACCUAUUUCACAUUUAAUAAUACUGUGUUUAGACAAACACAAGGGACUCCUAUGGGAGGUACUAUCUCUCCCAUUCUGGCCUGUUAUGUGAUGGAUCAUUUACUGGAUAUGGUGAUCCCAGAAUUGUCCUUCUAUAUUCCUUUUGUUAAAAAGUAUGUGGAUGACUUAAUCCUCGCUAUUCCUAGCAAUAGAUCAGCUGAAAUUUUGCAAGUAUUCAAUAGUUAUGACCCUCUAUUACAGUUCACAAUUGAACAUGAGGAUGAUCUAUGCUCAGUCCCCUUUCUUGAUACCCGGUUCAUUAGAACCCAUAACAACUCCCUGAGAAUUGACUGGCAUAGAAAACCUCAUAGUUCUGGACGUUUUCUUAACUAUUGGUCAUAUCAUCGACACUCAAUAAAAAUCAACUUGAUUAAGCAAAUGAAGGCUAGAAUCAUAGCUAUCAGUGAUCCUUCUUGCCAUCAGAAGAACCUGAGAAUCCUGUCUAACCUUUUUAUCGACAACUCUUAUCCAAAACACCUAGUCACCAAGAUAUUAUUCAGUUUGACCCCUGACAUAAUACGCCACAAUGAUGAGUUGCAAAUUACUGUUACAAGCGGAGAACAAAAUGCCAAUUGUUUAUAUACUUCUUUAAAAUACGUGAAAGGCAUAACACCCAGACUGGCUAGACUGUUUAAAGACAUCCCUAACUUGAAAAUAGCCUUUAAAACAUCUUUAACUUCACGAUCUAUAUUUUCAAAGGUUAAGGACAAGAGUGACAUUAGGGAUUGUUCUAACGUUGUCUACCAGAUUCCCUGUAACAACUGUAAUUUGGUAUAUGUUGGACAAACCGCACGCAAUUUAGGUAGUCGUUUAGUUAGUCACCGCAGUGAUAGCAGAUUAUAUCCUGAAAGAUCUGCUCUUGCCGAACAUGUUAAUAAAGAACAUCACAAAAUGAAUUACGAAUCGGUCAGAGUUUUAGCUUCUGAAUCCAACUAUACUAAAAGACUGUUCUUAGAGAUGGCUUUCAUUUCGCAGAAUUCUAAUGCAAUGAACAAAAGGAGUGACAUAAAUCAAUUAAGCUCUAUUUACUCAUAUCUAUUAUGUUUGGACAACUAUCCUCAUUUCAAUGAUGUCUUUUCAACUGAUUCAUUGUAAAGUUUCCAGCUUUCAGUACAUUGAAAUGUAAAUUAUUUAUAAUUUUGGUUUUUAACUUCAAACAAAACUCUGGUAAAUUUUUGAUGUGUAUUCUUAAAGUAUUAGUACUACAUAAGACAAAGAAAAAAGAAGAAGUGGUGUCAUUUGCGUAUGUCCAGGAAUGACAUUGACUUCUAACCUCACAUUUCACACUUGCCGGCACACGUGGCAUGUAAACCUUUUUAAUUGUCUUUUUCUUAUGUGUUAGUGUAGAAAAUAAUUUGUCAAUUUGGUCUUUUACACCAUGUAUUUUUUAAUAUUUGACUCAAUCAAUGAGUGGUGCGUGAAUUUGUCACCUGUGAGUAUAACAUCCACGGAAAGCAAAUCUCAAUAACUUAUUCCUGAUGAUGAAAAUAAACAUUUUCGAAAGCUUGAAACUUAGUUAAAAGAGUACACUUAUUUCACCGCUGCAUAUCCCAAUAACCUCAGAAUUCCGUUUUCUACGUUGUCAGCAAAGACUUCUUUUCCUUUUCUUU